GUGCGGAGGUUAGGGCGAUCGCUUGCGUUCUUGUGGGAGUUCUGGUGUUCCGGUGUACCGGUUUGCAUACUAGAUACCCAGUCAUGUCAUUUAAUCGUAAGUCUUUCCGUUCUGUCAUAUAAUGCGUUGAAUGCGUUUGUGAGUGCUAAAUACUAUUCAUGUCUUCGUCCUGGACGUCCCUCUGCUUGGUGGGGGGUGAAGGGUGGGGGGAAGAAAGAAAAAUUUAAGUCUGGCCGUUGAUUUUUAUAUUUCCUAAAGCAUAUCAAGGUUUUGGUCUCAAAAUUAUCACAAAUGAUAUCAUUUACAGAGGGCACAUAGUAAACAAACUACUUAUAUUUAGAGAAUGGAAAUUAUAUGCACAUGAAAACUAAAGUACACAAAUCUACUUAUCCUUUCACCAGCAAGCAUCAGAAGAAGGGGAAUGUAAAAUUAGCGGAGCGACAAAACAUAGAAAAGGAAAGGGAGGAAAAUCCUUCUUUUUAAAAGAGACGCCUGAUUAUCUUGCCAAAUGAAAUAAAAUAUAAAAAAUAUAUCGCCCAAAAACUUAACAUGCUUGAAUGCCUCACUCGGUGUGAAUCGGGAGAAAAUGUCUAAAUUGAAGAUUGGGGCAACAGAAGUGAUUUUUCAGAACCGAAAGUUUGCGUGAUAGAGAAGGGGGGAAAGGGUUCAAAGGGGUGGUAAAAUUUCGUGGAAGCGGAAUCAAUAAGAAAUAUGUAGUUACUCGUAAUAGCCGAAGACUGCCAAAUCGAGCAAUACCAAAAGGUCAGGCUGUCGCGCUAAGAGGACCAACACCAAUCCGAACCCAAGCAGAGAAAAUCGGGAAGGGCUUCUAGGGAGGAGAUACAUACAUAUGUAUGUAUUUUCAGGGGGGAAAUGCCAUUCCAUUUCAGGUAUCAUAGUUGCAUCUCCACCGAUUGUCGUUACAACGCCGAGACGUUUCGAUGCACAUCCUAGUACCAGCGCAGCACAAAAGAGCUAAAACAAAAUAAUGAGAAAGAACAGGAAGAGGUAAACAUUAACGUUACUUCCAUCAUAUGCCGCGGAGGCACCACCACCGCGGCGUGAUUUUUCCUUUGGAGCUAGCAGAUGGGAUUCUGCACUGGUAUUUGACGACAUUCACCCAGAGAAUAAAAUAUGGAAGCGGGUUCAAGAAGUGAGGUCCAAUGACCUUAUAACUCAGCUGGUCGAAACGUGGCCAAGACUUUUCAAAAGCCUCUAGAAGAGUGGUGGUGGGCACAGAGGAUAAAAUAUAGUAUCCCAUUUCAGGAGGGCAUAUGAAUUAGCCCCGGGAGGACGGAGGAUCUGAAAGCUUGUUUCGAUAAUGCAGGGGAAAGGAAAUGGGGGGAAUGUGAGACAUGCGCGUGAGACUAAAUGUUAGUAUAUCGUUACCUUGAACAUUGUUUGCCACUCGACAAGAACCUAGUUAAUAGGAGCUGGUUGUGUUAGCACAAAACGAGAUCUAAGGGUCACUGUGGCGUGUUAGUUCUGUUCACAGAUGUUGAUUACAAAAUGACGAAUAUGACGACAAAAGCUUGGAUGAUUGGGUAUCGUUAUGUAGAACGCCGGAAUAUGCUACUCCGACCGAUGUCGCUUGAUGUCUGGAGUGGAGCCCUCGAGAUCACCAAUGCCGG
RNAcentral lists this small RNA (1631 nucleotides) under Histoplasma capsulatum var. duboisii H88. RNAcentral's name for it is "Histoplasma capsulatum H88 hypothetical RNA". Lineage: Eukaryota; Fungi; Ascomycota; Eurotiomycetes; Onygenales; Ajellomycetaceae. The record is from RNAcentral.